RNAcentral lists this small RNA (2693 nucleotides) under Pan troglodytes (chimpanzee). RNAcentral's name for it is "retained intron". Lineage: Eukaryota; Metazoa; Chordata; Mammalia; Primates; Hominidae. The record is from RNAcentral.
GCGGAGGGAGCCGCGGGAUGGACCGCAGGUGAGGCCGAUCGCUCUUCCAGGGACUACAGGAGGCUGGGGAGGACCAACGGCGAGAGCAGCACAGCCUAGGGACGGGCUGGAUAGGGUCUGGAGUCGCUAGGGCUCCACCGCACUGGAACUACAGUUCCCAACAUGCUCCACAGCCGUUGGCCUCUCCAGCCGUAGCCGUUAGCAUCCCGGGGGUCCCCUAAGAGUCUUAUGUUCCUCUCUGAGUGGGCCCCAAGGAAUUAUUUCCUCUAAAGGUGUCCAAGAAAGGCUUGAGAUCUGAAUUUCUUCAUUUUGAAAUGGCCCCCAGACACGCCUGGGCGUUGUCUUUGAACUUUCUCGCGGAGGCGGAGCCCAGUGGAUCCUGGGGCUUGUAGUCCAUCUACCCUUUGCCUUCGUGUCCCCCAAGAAUGUAUGGGAAAUGCUCGGUGAUAUAAUCCAGCCGCGGUUCUUUCUUUCUUUCUUUUUUUUUUUUUUAAGACAGAGUCUCUCGCUCUGUUGGCCCAGACUGGAGUGCAGUGGCACAAUCUUGGCUACUGCAACCUCUGCCCCCUGGGUUAAAGCAAUUCUCAUGCCUCAGCCUCCCAGGUAGCUGGGACUACAGGCACCUGCCACCGCGCCUGGCUAAUUUUUUAUAUUUUUAGUAGAGACGGGGUUUCGCCAUGUUAGUAAGGCUGGUCUCGAACUCCUGACCUCAAGUGAUCCACCCGCCUCGGUGUAAUCCCAAAGUGCUGGGAUUACAGGCGUGAGCCACCACGCCCGGCGAGCCGCGGUUCUUAACCUGAACUCCACUUCGCAAUCACCUGGGAGGCUGCGGAAAAGACACGGAGGCCCAGCCCCACUAAUAGAUAUUCUGAUUCUGUUGGUCUGGAAUGGGAACCGCGCGCCUGUAACGUUGAAAAGCCCCUCCUAGACUGGAUCCAGGGUUGAGAACCACCGGCUGUCAGUUCCUGAGUUGCUCCCUGUUAAGACUGCUCCAAGGGCGGGCUCCCAGGACUCACCCUUCCACUGUCACUAUCCUGAAUGUGCAACGGUGCUUCAUGGAAAUAACAGUCCCUCUCCUCCAGGAAUCUAUGGGAAUUGUCUGGUUCUGCCCUCCUCUAAUGUCCCCCUCCCCAGGGCUGCGGCGAAACCACGUGCUGCCUGAACGCCACUUUCCUCUUGCAGCCUGCCAGUUUUCUCCAUUCAAGAUAGUCCCUUAGGAGAUGCGCCCCUGGGUCGAAGCCACUACUGGCCAUCCCAGAGCCAGACCUGGUGUUCCAAGGUGAGGACAACCCUCAAAGAGUGCUGAGUGCCAGCCCAGUAGCAAGAGAAUGACCUUUAGAGGGUAGGAAGACAUGUGAUGAGAGAUAGGGAUGAGAGAUUUAAGAGACAGCCCCUUCUCCCCUCCCCACGGCCCUGCCCUUGUCCCCCUCUCUACCACCUGGAUUCCCCAUCUGAGCCCCCAUCACACUAGGUUGUUAUCAUUACAGGAUGUGUUUCCUCCCCUCUGGACUGAGACUUUGUGUGUGUCUUGGUUCCCCUGCAGGGAUGACCCAUGAGACCUCACACUUUUUCUUCUUGUGCUCUUCCCUGAUCUUAGACCCUGAGCCCAUCCAGGUCUCAGAGAUCCAGGCUCCCACAAGCUCCCAAGGCUCUAGCCACAGGUCCCAACUCCCCUGAGCUGUUUGAGGAGUCCUGGCCAUCCAGUUCAGGGACCCCUUCCCUGCCCAGCACCACUGAGGGACAGAUGGGGGCCUCCCCAGCACCCACCCUGAUUGACAGCGGGGAUUCCGUGGUGGCCAAGUAUAUAAACAGGUUCCGCCAGGCUCAGCCCACCAGUCGAGAGGAGCGCCAGCCUGCAGGCCCAACCCCAGCUGACUUUUGGUGGCUGCGGUCUGACUCUCCAGACCCCAGCAGUCAAAGUGCAGCAGCAGGAGCCAACAAACCAGAAGGAAGACCCCAUACAGCUGUCCCUACUGCGGUCAACGUGACCAGUGCAUCCCAUGCUGUGGCUCCCCUUCAGGAAAUAAAGCAGGUGACAUCCCCAUGCACUCCCUCCCUUGGGUGCCUGAACUGACAACACCAGCCCUAGGAUAGAAUUAGAAGAUCAGGAGCAGUGGCUCACACCUGUAAUCCCAGCACUUUGGGAGGCCAAGGUGAGAGGACUGCUUGAGGCCAGGAGUUCAAGACCAGCUUGGGUGACAUGGUGAGAUUCUGCCUCUACUAAAAAAAAAAAGAGAGAGAGAGAGAACCAGGUGUGGUGGUAUGUACCUGUAAUCCCAGCUACUUGAGAGCCUGAGGCUGGAGGAUGGCUUGAGCCUAGGAGUUCAAGGCUGCUGUGAGCUAUGAUCAUGCCACUGCACUCCAGCCUGGGCAGUAGAGCAAGACCCUGUCUCUAUUUAAAAAAAAAAACAAAAAAGUCUGGGCACCGUGGCUCAUGCCUAUAAUCCCAGCACUUUGGGAGGCUGAGGCAGGCAGAUCACGAGGUCAGGAGUUCAGGACCAGCCUGACCAACAUGGUGAAACCCCGUCUCUACUAAAAAUACAAAAAUUAGCCGGGCGUGGUGGUGCACACCUGUAAUCCCAGCUACUCAGGAGCCUGAGGCAGGAGAAUUGCUUGAACCCGGGAGGCGGAGGUUGCAGUGAGCCAAGAUAGCGCCAGCGCACUCCAGCCUGGCGACAGCAAGACUCCAUCUC